GGGUUGUGAGGUUAAGCGACUAAGCGUACACGGUGGAUGCCCUGGCAGUCAGAGGCGAUGAAGGGCGUGCUAAUCUGCGAUAAGCGCCGGUAAGGUGAUAUGAACCGUUAUAACCGGCGAUACCCGAAUGGGGAAACCCAGUGUGAUUCGUCACACUAUCAUUACGUGAAUACAUAGCGUAAUGAAGCGAACCGGGGGAACUGAAACAUCUAAGUACCCCGAGGAAAAGAAAUCAACCGAGAUUCCCCCAGUAGCGGCGAGCGAACGGGGAGGAGCCCAGAGCCUGAAUCAGCAUGUGUGUUAGUGGAAGCGUCUGGAAAGGCGCGCGAUACAGGGUGACAGCCCCGUACACAAAAGCGCAUGUGUUGUGAGCUCGAUGAGUAGGGCGGGACACGUGGUAUCCUGUCUGAAUAUGGGGGGACCAUCCUCCAAGGCUAAAUACUCCUGACUGACCGAUAGUGAACCAGUACCGUGAGGGAAAGGCGAAAAGAACCCCGGCGAGGGGAGUGAAAAAGAACCUGAAACCGUGUACGUACAAGCAGUGGGAGCACCCUUCGGGG
This 560-nucleotide ribosomal RNA is filed under the name Salmonella enterica subsp. enterica serovar Typhimurium. RNAcentral describes it as "partial 23S ribosomal RNA". It matches the Rfam family "Bacterial large subunit ribosomal RNA", at positions 1 to 591 of the family's 2925-position model. Lineage: Bacteria; Pseudomonadati; Pseudomonadota; Gammaproteobacteria; Enterobacterales; Enterobacteriaceae. The record is from RNAcentral.